RNAcentral lists this ribosomal RNA (715 nucleotides) under uncultured bacterium. RNAcentral's name for it is "bacterial SSU rRNA". It matches the Rfam family "Bacterial small subunit ribosomal RNA", at positions 55 to 770 of the family's 1533-position model. The record is from RNAcentral.
AUGCAGUCGAGGGGUAUUAGGAGCUUGCUCCUAAGAGACCGGCGCACGGGUGCGUAACGCGUAUGCAAUCUACCUUGUACAGAGGAAUAGCCCAGAGAAAUUUGGAUUAAUGCCUCAUAGUAUAUUGGGUCGGCAUCGACCUAUUAUUAAAGAUUUAUCGGUACAAGAUGAGCAUGCGUCCCAUUAGUUAGUUGGUAAGGUAACGGCUUACCAAGACGAUGAUGGGUAGGGGUCCUGAGAGGGAGAUCCCCCACACUGGUACUGAGACACGGACCAGACUCCUACGGGAGGCAGCAGUGAGGAAUAUUGGGCAAUGGAGGCAACUCUGACCCAGCCAUGCCGCGUGCAGGAAGACGGUCCUAUGGAUUGUAAACUGCUUUUAUACGGGAAGAAACACUCCGACGUGUCGGAACUUGACGGUACCGUAAGAAUAAGGAUCGGCUAACUCCGUGCCAGCAGCCGCGGUAAUACGGAGGAUCCAAGCGUUAUCCGGAAUCAUUGGGUUUAAAGGGUCCGUAGGCGGCCUUAUAAGUCAGUGGUGAAAUCUCCUAGCUCAACUAGGAAACUGCCAUUGAUACUGUAGGGCUUGAAUUAUUGUGAAGUAACUAGAAUAUGUAGUGUAGCGGUGAAAUGCUUAGAUAUUACAUGGAAUACCAAUUGCGAAGGCAGGUUACUAACAAUCGAUUGACGCUGAUGGACGAAAGCGUGAGUAGCG